ACCAGAAAGAGAGCACUCCUUUUCAUCCACCCCCGCACCAGAGAGCACCGGGGCAAUAUCCACUCCAGAAUCACUGACUACACCUAGUGCAGAAAGAGAGACCUCCUUUUCAUCCACCUCCUCACCAGAGGCAACUGGAGAAAUAUUAACCCCAGAAUCACUGACUACACCUAAUAAAGAUUACACAACACAAGAAACAGAGAACUCUUCUUCAUCCACUUUCCUGCCAGGGAC
Long non-coding RNA from Gopherus evgoodei (Goodes thornscrub tortoise), 234 nucleotides. RefSeq lists it as uncharacterized. The record is from RefSeq and is a predicted model, not a curated record. NCBI's taxonomy places the organism in Eukaryota, Metazoa, Chordata, Testudines, Testudinidae. The transcript is spliced from 3 exons.